This 872-nucleotide ribosomal RNA is filed under the name uncultured bacterium. Its description in RNAcentral is "bacterial SSU rRNA". It matches the Rfam family "Bacterial small subunit ribosomal RNA", at positions 28 to 896 of the family's 1533-position model. The record is from RNAcentral.
AUUGAACGCUGGCGGCAUGCCUUACGCAUGCAAGUCGAACGGCAGCACGGAGCUUGCUCUGGUGGCGAGUGGCGAACGGGUGAGUAAUAUAUCGGAACGUACCCAAGAGUGGGGGAUAACGUAGCGAAAGUUACGCUAAUACCGCAUACGAUCUAUGGAUGAAAGCAGGGGACCGCAAGGCCUUGUGCUCCUGGAGCGGCCGAUAUCUGAUUAGCUAGUUGGUGGGGUAAAGGCCCACCAAGGCAACGAUCAGUAGCUGGUCUGAGAGGACGACCAGCCACACUGGAACUGAGACACGGUCCAGACUCCUACGGGAGGCAGCAGUGGGGAAUUUUGGACAAUGGGGGCAACCCUGAUCCAGCAAUGCCGCGUGAGUGAAGAAGGCCCUCGGGUUGUAAAGCUCUUUUGUCAGGGAAGAAAAGGUUGCGGCUAAUAUCCGCGGCUCAUGACGGUACCUGAAGAAUAAGCACCGGCUAACUACGUGCCAGCAGCCGCGGUAAUACGUAGGGUGCAAGCGUUAAUCGGAAUUACUGGGCGUAAAGCGUGCGCAGGCGGUUUUGUAAGACUGUCGUGAAAUCCCCGGGCUCAACCUGGGAAUGGCGAUGGUGACUGCAAGGCUAGAGUUUGGCAGAGGGGGGUAGAAUUCCGCGUGUAGCAGUGAAAUGCGUAGAUAUGUGGAGGAACACCGAUGGCGAAGGCAGCCCCCUGGGUCAAAACUGACGCUCAUGCACGAAAGCGUGGGGAGCAAACAGGAUUAGAUACCCUGGUAGUCCACGCCCUAAACGAUGUCUACUAGUUGUCGGGUCUUAAUUGACUUGGUAACGCAGCUAACGCGUGAAGUAGACCGCCUGGGGAGUACGGUCGCAAGAUUA